ACGACCGGCGCACGGGUGCGUAACGCGUAUAGAACCUACCAUAAACAGGGAGAUACCCUUUGGAAACGAAGACUAAUACCCCAUAGCGAUAUUUGAUGGCCUCCUUAAAUAUUUAAAGAUUUAUUGGUUUAUGAUGGCUAUGCGUUCUAUUAGUUAGUUGGUAAGGUAACGGCUUACCAAGACAUCGAUAGAUAGGGGUCCUGAGAGGGAGAACCCCCACACUGGUACUGAGACACGGACCAGACUCCUACGGGAGGCAGCAGUGAGGAAUAUUGGGCAAUGGAGGCAACUCUGACCCAGCCAUGCCGCGUGAAGGAUGACUGCCCUAUGGGUUGUAAACUUCUUUUAUAGAGGAAGAAUUGUGUUUACGUGUAAACAUUUGACGGUACUCUACGAAUAAGGA
This 403-nucleotide ribosomal RNA is filed under the name uncultured bacterium. RNAcentral describes it as "bacterial SSU rRNA". It matches the Rfam family "Bacterial small subunit ribosomal RNA", at positions 91 to 492 of the family's 1533-position model. The record is from RNAcentral.